AAAGCUCCGGCGCCCAAGGAUGGCUCUGCGGCCUAUCAGGGUUGUAGUGGGUGUAAUGUACCUACUAGCCUACGACGGGUACGGGUUGUGAGAGCAAGAGCCCGGAGAUGGAUUCUGAGACACGAAUCCAGGCCCUACGGGGUGCAGCAGGCGCGAAAACUUUACAAUGCGGGAAACCGUGAUAAGGGAAUCUCGAGUGCCAGCAUAUAAUGUUGGCUGUCCAGAUGCCUAAAAAGCAUCUGUUAGCAAGGGCCGGGCAAGACCGGUGCCAGCCGCCGCGGUAA
This 284-nucleotide ribosomal RNA is filed under the name uncultured Methanosaeta sp. RNAcentral describes it as "partial 16S ribosomal RNA". It matches the Rfam family "Archaeal small subunit ribosomal RNA", at positions 190 to 473 of the family's 1478-position model. Lineage: Archaea; Methanobacteriati; Methanobacteriota; Methanomicrobia; Methanotrichales; Methanotrichaceae. The record is from RNAcentral.